Molecule: ribosomal RNA, 210 nt
Filed under: Glaesserella parasuis
Lineage: Bacteria; Pseudomonadati; Pseudomonadota; Gammaproteobacteria; Pasteurellales; Pasteurellaceae
Description: partial 16S ribosomal RNA
Rfam family: Bacterial small subunit ribosomal RNA
Source: RNAcentral
UUCUUUGCUGACGAGUGGCGGACGGGUGAGUAAUGCUUGGGGAUCUGGCUUAUGGAGGGGGAUAACGACGGGAAACUGUCGCUAAUACCGCGUAAUGUCUAAGGACUAGAGGGUGGGACUUUCGGGCCACCUGCCAUAAGAUGAGCCCAAGUGGGAUUAGGUAGUUGGUGGGGUAAAGGCCUACCAAGCCGACGAUCUCUAGCUGGUCUG